RNAcentral lists this ribosomal RNA (465 nucleotides) under uncultured bacterium. RNAcentral's name for it is "bacterial SSU rRNA". It matches the Rfam family "Bacterial small subunit ribosomal RNA", at positions 29 to 518 of the family's 1533-position model. The record is from RNAcentral.
AUUGAACGCUGGCGGCAUGCCUUACACAUGCAAGUCGAACGGUAGAGGGGCAACCCUCGAGAGUGGCGAACGGGUGAGUAAUGCAUCGGGACGUACCCAGUUGUGGGGGAUAGCUCGGCGAAAGCCGGAUUAAUACCGCAUACGCACUGAGGUGGAAAGCGGGGGACUCGCAAGGGCCUCGCGCAGUUGGAGCGGCCGAUGUCAGAUUAGCUAGUUGGUGGGGUAAAGGCCUACCAAGGCGACGAUCUGUAGCUGGUCUGAGAGGAUGACCAGCCACACUGGGACUGAGACACGGCCCAGACUCCUACGGGAGGCAGCAGUGGGGAAUUUUGGACAAUGGGCGCAAGCCUGAUCCAGCCAUGCCGCGUGCAGGAAGAAGGCCUCGGUUGUAAACGUGCUUUGUCUAGGGAAGAAAUGACGGUAACCGGAGAAGAAGACCCGGCGUAACUUCGUGCCAGCAGCCGC